This 465-nucleotide ribosomal RNA is filed under the name Vreelandella stevensii. RNAcentral's name for it is "partial 16S ribosomal RNA". It matches the Rfam family "Bacterial small subunit ribosomal RNA", at positions 338 to 795 of the family's 1533-position model. The record is from RNAcentral. Lineage: Bacteria; Pseudomonadati; Pseudomonadota; Gammaproteobacteria; Oceanospirillales; Halomonadaceae.
CCUACGGGGCGCAUCAGUGGGGAAUAUUGGACAAUGGGCGAAAGCCUGAUCCAGCCAUGCCGCGUGUGUGAAGAAGGCCUUCGGGUUGUAAAGCACUUUCAGUGGGGAAGAAAGCCUUGGGGCUAAUACCCUCGAGGAAGGACAUCACCCACAGAAGAAGCACCGGCUAACUCCGUGCCAGCAGCCGCGGUAAUACGGAGGGUGCGAGCGUUAAUCGGAAUUACUGGGCGUAAAGCGCGCGUAGGCGGUCUGAUAAGCCGGUUGUGAAAGCCCCGGGCUCAACCUGGGAACGGCAUCCGGAACUGUCAGGCUAGAGUGCAGGAGAGGAAGGUAGAAUUCCCGGUGUAGCGGUGAAAUGCGUAGAGAUCGGGAGGAAUACCAGUGGCGAAGGCGGCCUUCUGGACUGACACUGACGCUGAGGUGCGAAAGCGUGGGUAGCAAACAGGAUUAGAUACCCUAGUAGUC